AGAAUAUUUGCAUAUUAAGACCAUGAAUACAGGUAGUGCUGCUGCCAUAAUAAUUCUGGCUUUUACUUGUUCUUCUUUCUUAUGGUAUUUAGUCCGUAACUGGAACUCACGGCGACCAAGUGAUCAAUCUCGAAGAAGAACAAGAGAUAGGAACAUGGUCGUUUUAGAAGAAGCCGGUGCUGGUGUUGCUGCUGCUGAUGCUGUUGCUGCAACGUCAGUUGCAGCAAACAGCAACGGUACUGAUUAUUAGCGUAAGCGUGGUGAGGUAACUAUUGACUUAGGAGCAGCUUCUGAGGCCACUGCUAAUGCAUCACAAGGUUGUUGCUGUGGUGGUGGCGGUUGUGGUGGUGAUGACGGUGGUGGUUGUGUGGUUGCAGUGGAGACUAAAAGCCUU
Molecule: long non-coding RNA, 394 nt
Filed under: Capsicum annuum
Lineage: Eukaryota; Viridiplantae; Streptophyta; Magnoliopsida; Solanales; Solanaceae
Description: long non-coding RNA (CANN_LNC021641)
Source: RNAcentral